This is a non-coding RNA of Capsicum annuum, 104 nucleotides long. The record is from Rfam. Lineage: Eukaryota; Viridiplantae; Streptophyta; Magnoliopsida; Solanales; Solanaceae.
UGUUCAUGGUGUGGAAAAUCCUGAAGAAGAGCCUUGAAGCAUUCCCAACCAUGAUAGAAGUUUUCAUCAGGUUUCUGUUUGAAGCUCACUAUCUCACUGCAAAG